UUCUGCUGUGAUCCUUGCCACACUUUUCACACAGGUUGAGAGAGAAAGAAGAAUAAAUACAGUUGUAAAACUCAAUGGCUAAAUGUACAUCUGCUAAUGAAGAAGCUCCUUGAAAGAAAGUAUUAAUAUUUAAGGAUUAAAGAUGUGCCAUGUAGCAGAAGAAUACCAACGAAGCAAGAAAUGUAUGGAAUUAAAAGUGAAAAAUGUUUCAGAAGGAGCAGUCUACAGAUGGUGUUGUGAGUGAUGUAGAAAUGCCGGAACUUCAUGAAUUUCUUUGAGGAGGUCUUCAUCAGAAUGGAGGAGAAAAAGUGAAAUAGAAGAUAUGAGUGUCUAAUCUUGAAAAUUAGGUGAUUGGCAAUGUGUUGGUGGUUUUUAUAUAAAGAGUGUACAGAAAAUGUUAUGAUUAAUCCAAGCAACAUGAUUUAAUGAGAAACCAA
Molecule: long non-coding RNA, 437 nt
Organism: Pantherophis guttatus
Lineage: Eukaryota; Metazoa; Chordata; Lepidosauria; Squamata; Colubridae
Source: RefSeq, a predicted model, not a curated record